This 375-nucleotide ribosomal RNA is filed under the name uncultured bacterium. RNAcentral's name for it is "bacterial SSU rRNA". It matches the Rfam family "Bacterial small subunit ribosomal RNA", at positions 523 to 898 of the family's 1533-position model. The record is from RNAcentral.
AUACGUAGGGUGCAAGCGUUAAUCGGAAUUACUGGGCGUAAAGCGUGCGCAGGCGGUUCGGCAAGAAGGGUGUGAAAUCCCGGGGCUUAACCUCGGAACUGCAUUCUUAACUGCCGGGCUAGAGUAUGUCAGAGGGGGGUAGAAUUCCGCGUGUAGCAGUGAAAUGCGUAGAGAUGCGGAGGAAUACCGAUGGCGAAGGCAGCCCCCUGGGAUAAUACUGACGCUCAUGCACGAAAGCGUGGGGAGCAAACAGGAUUAGAUACCCUGGUAGUCCACGCCCUAAACGAUGUCAACUAGCUGUUGGGGCCUUCGGGCCUUAGUAGCGCAGCUAACGCGUGAAGUUGACCGCCUGGGGAGUACGGUCGCAAGAUUAAA